GUCAGUGUGUGUGUGUCUGUGAGUAUGUGUGUGUCUGUGUGUGUGUGUGUGUUUCUGUGAGUGUGUGUCUGUGAGUAUGUAUGUGUGUGUGUCAGUGUGUCUGUGAGUGUGUGUCUGUGAGUAUGUGUGUGUGUGUCUGUGAGUAUGUGUGUGUGUCUGUGUCUGUGUGUGUGUCUGUGAGUAUGUGUGUGUGUCUGUGUCUGUGUGUGUGUUUCUGUGAGUGUGUGUGUGUUUCUGUGAGUGUGUGUGUUUCUGUGAGUGUGUGUCUGUGAGUAUGUAUGUGUGUGUGAGUGUGUGUGUGAGUGUGUGUCUGUGAGUGUGUGAGUGUAUGUGUGUGUCUGUGAGUAUGUAUGUGUGUGUGUCUGUCAGUGUGUGUGUGUGU
Molecule: non-coding RNA, 382 nt
Organism: Pelobates cultripes (western spadefoot toad)
Lineage: Eukaryota; Metazoa; Chordata; Amphibia; Anura; Pelobatidae
Source: the annotation of a GenBank genome assembly